AGCGAACGCUGGCGGCAGGCCUAACACAUGCAAGUCGAACGAACCUUUCGGGGUUAGUGGCGGACGGGUGAGUAACACGUGGGAACGUGCCUUUAGGUUCGGAAUAACUCAGGGAAACUUGUGCUAAUACCGAAUGUGCCCUUCGGGGGAAAGAUUUAUCGCCUUUAGAGCGGCCCGCGUCUGAUUAGCUAGUUGGUUGAGGUAAUGGCUCACCAAGGCGACGAUCAGUAGCUGGUCUGAGAGGAUGAUCAGCCACAUUGGGACUGAGACACGGCCCAAACUCCUACGGGAGGCAGCAGUGGGUAAUCUUGCGCAAUGGGCGAAAGCCUGACGCAGCCAUGCCGCGUGAAUGAUGAAGGUCUUAGGAUUGUAAAAUUCUUUCACCGGGGACGAUAAUGACGGUACCCGGAGAAGAAGCCCCGGCUAACUUCGUG
Molecule: ribosomal RNA, 434 nt
Filed under: uncultured bacterium
Lineage: Bacteria
Description: partial 16S ribosomal RNA
Rfam family: Bacterial small subunit ribosomal RNA
Source: RNAcentral